AAUGAACGUUGGCGGCGUGGAUUAGGCAUGCAAGUCGAGCGCGAACCCCGCAAGGGGUGAAAGCGGCGAAAGGGAGAGUAACGCGUGGGUAUUUACCCUCGGGACUGGGAUAGCUGCGGGAAACUGCAGGUAAUACCAGAUGACGUCCCCGGACCAAAGGUGUGAUUCCGCCUGAGGAUAAGCCCGCGUCCUAUUAGCUAGUUGGUGAGGUAAUGGCUCACCAAGGCAAUGAUGGGUACUGGGUGUGAGAGCACGACCCAGCUCACUGGGACUGAUACACGGCCCAGACACCUACGGGUGGCUGCAGUCGAGAAUCUUCGGCAAUGGGCGCAAGCCUGACCGAGCGACGCCGCGUGUGGGAUGAAGGCCUUCGGGUUGUAAACCGCUGUCAGAGGGGAGGAAUGGGCGGAGGGUAAUCUCUUCGUUUUGACCUAUCCUCAGAGGAAGUACGGGCUAAGUUCGUGCCAGCCGCCGCCGUAA
Molecule: ribosomal RNA, 480 nt
Filed under: uncultured bacterium
Lineage: Bacteria
Description: partial 16S ribosomal RNA
Rfam family: Bacterial small subunit ribosomal RNA
Source: RNAcentral